GAAUUGCGAUAUGUAAUGUGAAUUGCAGAAUUCAGUGAAUCAUCGAAUCUUUGAACGCACAUUGCACUCUCUGGUAUUCCGGAGAGUAUGCCUGUUUGAGUGUCAUUUAUCUCUCAACAUUGGCAAGGUUAUUUAUUUAAUCUGUCAUUGUUUGGACUAUGAAGGCAUGUUGGUGUUAACAGCGUCAACUCCUUUUAAACAUAUUAGCGGAACUUGGUUGAUUCAGCUUCGGUUUGGUAAAUAUUUAUCGUGUGCUGUCGCUGAAAAGACAAUUGUUUGGCUUCAAACUGUCUUCGGACUGUCCAUUACUUGGGCAUAACAAAAUUGACACUUGACCUCAAAUCAGGUAGGACUACCCGCUGAACUUAA
This 369-nucleotide unclassified non-coding RNA is filed under the name uncultured Basidiomycota. RNAcentral's name for it is "sequence contains ITS1". The stretch from base 1 to 105 matches the Rfam family "5.8S ribosomal RNA", at positions 50 to 154 of the family's 154-position model. Lineage: Eukaryota; Fungi; Basidiomycota. The record is from RNAcentral.